CUUGAAGAAGAACUUUGGUUCGCAGGUGAAAAGCCCUAAACUUUGAAGUUUUUCUGUUCGCAGGUGAAAACACUAUUUUUUUCACGACUUAAGUCAGACGCAUACCUUUCUCUUUUUUCUUUUUACAAAUAGCGACGCCUCACUCGCUACACGCCACCAGGUCGCCUCACGCAACACAGCCUGAAGCGAGCGCCAUUUCAAAUCGCAACGCCACAGUCACUCUGAAGCGACAUACUCUCGCCUCGCCUCGCCUCACGCUAUUAGCAAGCCUGAAGCGAGCUCCAUUUCAAAUCGCAACGCCACAUCACUCUGAAGCGACACACUCUCGCCUCGCCUCACCUCACGCUAUUAGCGCCGAGGCGAGCGCUAUUUACAACACUGGGGUGACCACAAUUCAAACCUUAGUUGAGACAAAGAGCUAGGUGAUUUCUUUUCAUCUGCCUAAGCCUAGUAGAUAUCGUUACUUGGUGCUUGUGCUGGAGGUAGUAUACACCUGAUGGAUUAGUCGAGGUGUGCACAUGUUUUUUG
Molecule: long non-coding RNA, 528 nt
Filed under: Nicotiana benthamiana
Lineage: Eukaryota; Viridiplantae; Streptophyta; Magnoliopsida; Solanales; Solanaceae
Description: long non-coding RNA (NBEN_LNC019825)
Source: RNAcentral